This 423-nucleotide ribosomal RNA is filed under the name uncultured bacterium. RNAcentral's name for it is "bacterial SSU rRNA". It matches the Rfam family "Bacterial small subunit ribosomal RNA", at positions 362 to 776 of the family's 1533-position model. The record is from RNAcentral.
UUGUUCGCAAUGGGCGCAAGCCUGACGACGCAACGCCGCGUGGAGGAUGAAGAUCUUCGGGUCGUAAACUCCUGUCGAGCGGGAAGAACACCUGCAUGGCUAACAUCCGUGCAGGCUGACGGUACCGCUAAAGGAAGCCCCGGCUAACUCCGUGCCAGCAGCCGCGGUAAUACGGGGGGGGCAAGCGUUGUUCGGAAUUACUGGGCGUAAAGGGCUCGUAGGCGGCCAACUAAGUCGGACGUGAAAUCCCCAGGCUCAACCUGGGAACUGCGUCCGAUACUGGAUGGCUUGAAUCCGGGAGAGGGAUGCAGAAUUCCAGGUGUAGCGGUGAAAUGCGUAGAUAUCUGGAGGAAUACCGGUGGCGAAGGCGGCAUCCUGGACCGGCAUUGACGCUGAGGAGCGAAAGCCAGGGGAGCAAACGGG